CUAAGAAUAUUCCGCAAUGGACGAAAGUCUGACGGAGCGACGCCGCGUGGAUGAAGAAGGCCGAAAGGUUGUAAAGUUCUUUUGUUGGGGAAGAAUAACCAUGGGAGGGAAUGCCCGUGGGAUGACAUGAACCGACGAAUAAGCCCCGGCUAACUACGUGCCAGCAGCCGCGGUAACACGUAGGGGGCGAGCGUUGUUCGGAAUUACUGGGCGUAAAGGGCAUGUAGGCGGUCUUGUAAGCUUGGCGUGAAAGACCACGGCUCAACCGUGGGAUUGCGUUGAGAACUGCGAGGCUUGAGUGACGGAGAGGGAGCUAGAAUUCCUGGUGUAGGGGUGGAAUCUGUAGAGAUCAGGAAGAAUACCAAUGGCGAAGGCAAGCUCCUGGCCGAUGACUGACGCUGA
Molecule: ribosomal RNA, 402 nt
Filed under: uncultured bacterium
Lineage: Bacteria
Description: bacterial SSU rRNA
Rfam family: Bacterial small subunit ribosomal RNA
Source: RNAcentral